CACGGGUGCGGCGCUACCAUGCGAGUCGAACGAUGAUGCCCAGCUUGCUGGGCGGAUUAGUGGCGAACGGGUGAGUAAUACGUGAGUAACCUGCCCUUGACUCUGGGAUAAGCCUGGGAAACUGGGUCUAAUACUGGAUACUACCUCUUGCCGCAUGGUGGGUGGUGGAAAGGGUUUUACUGGUUUUGGAUGGGCUCACGGCCUAUCAGCUUGUUGGUGGGGUAAUGGCUCACCAAGGCGACGACGGGUAGCCGGCCUGAGAGGGUGACCGGCCACACUGGGACUGAGACACGGCCCACACUCCUACGGGAGGCAGCAGUGGGGAAUAUUGCACAAUGGGCGGAAGCCUGAUGCAGCGACGCCGCGUGAGGGAUGACGGCCUUCGGGUUGUAAACCUCUUUCAGUAGGGAAGAAGCGAGAGUGACGGUACCUGCAGAAGAAGCGCCGGCUAACUACGUGCCAGCAGCCGCGGUAAUACGUAGGGCGCAAGCGUUGUCCGGAAUUAUUGGGCGUAAAGAGCUCGUAGGCGGUUUGUCGCGUCUGCUGUGAAAGCCCGGGGCUCAACCCCGGGUCUGCAGUGGGUACGGGCAGACUAGAGUGCAGUAGGGGAGACUGGAAUUCCUGGUGUAGCGGUGAAAUGCGCAGAUAUCAGGAGGAACACCGAUGGCGAAGGCAGGUCUCUGGGCUGUUACUGACGCUGAGGAGCGAAAGCAUGGGGAGCGAACAGGAUUAGAUACCCUGGUAGUCCAUGCCGUAAACGUUGGGCACUAGGUGUGGGGGACAUUCCACGUUUUCCGCGCCGUAGCUAACGCAUUAAGUGCCCCGCCUGGGGAGUACGGCCGCAAGGCUAAAACUCAAAGGAAUUGACGGGGGCCCGCACAAGCGGCGGAGCAUGCGGAUUAAUUCGAUGCAACGCGAAGAACCUUACCAAGGCUUGACAUUCACCGGACCGCCCCAGAGAUGGGGUUUCCCUUCGGGGCUGGUGGACAGGUGGUGCAUGGUUGUCGUCAGCUCGUGUCGUGAGAUGUUGGGUUAAGUCCCGCAACGAGCGCAACCCUCGUUCUAUGUUGCCAGCACGUGAUGGUGGGGACUCAUAGGAGACUGCCGGGGUCAACUCGGAGGAAGGUGGGGAUGACGUCAAAUCAUCAUGCCCCUUAUGUCUUGGGCUUCACGCAUGCUACAAUGGCCGGUACAAAGGGUUGCGAUACUGUGAGGUGGAGCUAAUCCCAAAAAGCCGGUCUCAGUUCGGAUUGAGGUCUGCAACUCGACCUCAUGAAGUCGGAGUCGCUAGUAAUCGCAGAUCAGCAACGCUGCGGUGAAUACGUUCCCGGGCCUUGUACACACCGCCCGUCAAGUCACGAAAGUUGGUAACACCCGAAGCCGGUGGCCUAACCCCUUGUGGGAGGAGCCGUCGAAUGAUUAAUUAGCUUC
RNAcentral lists this ribosomal RNA (1431 nucleotides) under Kocuria rosea. Its description in RNAcentral is "bacterial SSU rRNA". It matches the Rfam family "Bacterial small subunit ribosomal RNA". The record is from RNAcentral. Lineage: Bacteria; Bacillati; Actinomycetota; Actinomycetes; Micrococcales; Micrococcaceae.